RNAcentral lists this unclassified non-coding RNA (499 nucleotides) under uncultured Paraglomus. RNAcentral's name for it is "SSU rRNA". It matches the Rfam family "Eukaryotic small subunit ribosomal RNA", at positions 591 to 1092 of the family's 1831-position model. Lineage: Eukaryota; Fungi; Glomeromycota; Glomeromycetes; Paraglomerales; Paraglomeraceae. The record is from RNAcentral.
CCAAUAGCGUAUAUUAAAGUUGUUGCAGUUAAAAAGCUCGUAGUUGAACUUCAGGCCUGGCUGGACGGUCCGCCUUCCGGGCGAGUACUGUCUGUGGUCGGGUCCUACCUUCUGGCGAAGCGUCAUGGUCUUAACCGGCCGUGGCGGGGAACCAGGACUUUUACUGUGAAAAAAUUAGAGUGUUCAAAGCAGGCAAUUUCGCUUGGAUACAUUAGCAUGGAAUAAUGGAAUAGGACAAUGGUUCUAUUUGUUGGUUUCUAGGACUGUUGUAAUGAUUAAUAGGGAUAGUUGGGGGCAUUAGUAUUCAAUUGUCAGAGGUGAAAUUCUUGGAUUUAUUGAAGACUAACUACUGCGAAAGCAUUUGCCAAGGAUGUUUUCAUUAAUCAAGAACGAAAGUUAGGGGAUCGAAGACGAUCAGAUACCGUCGUAGUCUUAACCAUAAACUAUGCCGACUAGGAAUCGGGCGAUGUUGAAAAAAUGACGCGCUCGGCACCUCAUG